UGCUCGUGCGUCAAUAGCUGCUUCACCUU
Molecule: small RNA, 29 nt
Filed under: Bombyx mori (domestic silkworm)
Lineage: Eukaryota; Metazoa; Arthropoda; Insecta; Lepidoptera; Bombycidae
Description: ovarian small RNA-34188
Source: RNAcentral